CCCAGACUCCUACGGGAGGCAGCAGUGGGGAAUAUUGCACAAUGGGGGAAACCCUGAUGCAGCGACGCCGCGUGAAGGAUGAAGUAUUUCGGUAUGUAAACUUCUAUCAGCAGGGAAGAAAAUGACGGUACCUGACUAAGAAGCCCCGGCUAACUACGUGCCAGCAGCCGCGGUAAUACGUAGGGGGCAAGCGUUAUCCGGAUUUACUGGGUGUAAAGGGAGCGUAGACGGCAUGGCAAGUCUGAUGUGAAAACCCGGGGCUCAACCCCGGGACUGCAUUGGAAACUGUUAAGCUGGAGUACUGGAGAGGCACGCGGAAUUCCUAGUGUAGCGGUGAAAUGCGUAGAUAUUAGGAGGAACACCAGUGGCGAAGGCGGCUUGCUGGACAGAGACUGACGUUGAGGCUCGAAGGCGUGGGGAGCAAACAGGAUUAGAUACCCCAGUAGUA
This 448-nucleotide ribosomal RNA is filed under the name uncultured bacterium. RNAcentral's name for it is "partial 16S ribosomal RNA". It matches the Rfam family "Bacterial small subunit ribosomal RNA", at positions 330 to 795 of the family's 1533-position model. The record is from RNAcentral.